Molecule: ribosomal RNA, 512 nt
Filed under: uncultured bacterium
Lineage: Bacteria
Description: bacterial SSU rRNA
Rfam family: Bacterial small subunit ribosomal RNA
Source: RNAcentral
GAUGAACGCUAGCGACAGGCCUAACACAUGCAAGUCGAGGGGCAUCGGGACGUAGCAAUACGUUGCCGGCGACCGGCGGAUGGGUGAGUAACGCGUAUGCAACCUACCCGUAGCAGGGGGAUAGCCCGUUGAAAGACGGAUUAAUACCCCGUAACACAGGGGCUCCGCAUGGAGAUUAUUGUUAAAGGGUCAUUUCUUUUCAGGGAUGGUCCGGCUGCGGAUGGGCAUGCGUUCCAUUAGGUAGUUGGUGUAGGUAACUGCUCACCAAGCCGACGAUGGAUAGGGGAACUGAGAGGUUGGUCCCCCACACUGGUACUGAGACACGGACCAGACUCCUACGGGAGGCAGCAGUGAGGAAUUUUGGUCAAUGGACGCAAGUCUGAACCAGCCAUGUCGCGUGAAGGAGGACGGCCCUAAGGGUUGUAAACUUCUUUUGCAGUGGAAUAAAGUUUGCCACGUGUUGGCGAUUUGCAAGUACGCUGCGAAUAAGGAUCGGCUAACUCCGUGCCAGC